Molecule: ribosomal RNA, 465 nt
Filed under: uncultured bacterium
Lineage: Bacteria
Description: partial 16S ribosomal RNA
Rfam family: Bacterial small subunit ribosomal RNA
Source: RNAcentral
GACGAACGCUGGCGGCGUGCUUAACACAUGCAAGUCGAACGGAAAGGCCCCUUUUGGGGUCCUCGGGUUGCGAACGGGUGAGUAACACGUCCUUAACCUCCCCUUGACUUCCGGAUAACUUCAGUAAACUGGGGCUAUUUCCGCAGAGGAAUCCUUUCUGCCUGGUGGGGGUUGGAAAGCUUAGUCGGCUUUGGGUGGGCUCGCGGCUUAGCAGCGUGUUGGUGGGGUAGUGGCUUACGAAGGCUGUGACGGGUAGCCGGACUGAGAGGGCGACCGGCCACAUUGGGACUGAGACACGGCCCAGACUCCGACGGGAGGCAGCAGUGGGGAAUAUUGAAAAAUGGGCGGGAGCCUGAUGCAGAUACGCCGCGGGCGGGAUGACGGUCUUGGGGUUGUAAACCGCUUUCAGCAGGGGCGGAGCUUGUGGUGACGGUACCUGCAGAAGAAGCACCGGCUAACUCCGUG